This is a non-coding RNA of Misgurnus anguillicaudatus (oriental weatherfish), 631 nucleotides long. Lineage: Eukaryota; Metazoa; Chordata; Actinopteri; Cypriniformes; Cobitidae. The record is from the annotation of a RefSeq genome assembly.
CACAGCUUUAGAUACAAAAGUCCACUGAAGAUCAGCUUUUCAGUCCUGCAAGGUUCACACAAAAACAAUAAUGUCUCCAUUACUUAUUCUGUGUACACUGGGUCUGCUUACUCAAGUUUCUCAUCAGGAGGUUCAGUCUCCUGAAUCUCUGUCAGUUAAAGUUGGAGAUUCUGCCUCUAUUAGUUGUACUGGGACCAGUGGAGUUGGUUCUGACAUGAGCUGGUAUCUACAGAAACCUGGAGAAGCUCCUAAACUCCUGAUUUAUUAUGCAAGUAAUCUUAAAUCUGGAGUACCAGAUCGGUUCAGUGGAACUUACUCUGGACUCAUUUUUACACUGAACAUACGUAGAGUUCAGCCUGAGGAUGCAGGAGAUUAUUACUGUAUGGGGGCUUAUCAUGGAAGGAACACACAGUGAAACAGAGUCAUACAAAAACCUCCCUCAGUCAGACAGCACAGAGAAGAGAAGCUUACAUUAGACUUUUGAGAAAGAUCAUUUGUGCUUAAAUAUAUUUGUCAUGGAUAUACUAUCCACUUCUCAGUUUACAGUAAUAAAAAUAAUCUACACAUUUACAUUAUUGUUUAAUUUAAUUAAGUGGUGCCCUUAUUUACACUUUAGCAAAUAAUUGAUUCA